RNAcentral lists this small nuclear RNA (151 nucleotides) under Carlito syrichta (Philippine tarsier). RNAcentral describes it as "U4 spliceosomal RNA (ENSTSYG00000023258.2)". It matches the Rfam family "U4 spliceosomal RNA". From Rfam's summary of the family: U4 small nuclear RNA (U4 snRNA) is a component of the major U2-dependent spliceosome. The structure of U4 snRNA from yeast and human has been reported. Lineage: Eukaryota; Metazoa; Chordata; Mammalia; Primates; Tarsiidae. The record is from Rfam by way of RNAcentral.
AGCUUUGCUCAGUGGCAGUAUCAUAGACAAUAAGGUUUAUCCAAGGAGCAAUUAUUGCUAAAUGAAAACUUUUCCCAAUACUCCGCCAUGACGACUUGCAAUAAAAUAAUAGCCAAUUUUUAAGAAGCUUUUACUGAGUACCCAAAAGAGC